AUAGCAUAUAAUAUUUUUAUUUGUACAAAAGAUGGACAAUACAAAGAUUUAUGCUCUCACAAUGCUAUUUGUAUUAGCUUUCUUCAUCUUUGCAUCAGAUAUGUGUAUGAAAUCAGAAGGAAAAUAUUUUGUAGAAAACUUCCCAUGUAAGAUGGAUAAAGAAUGUCAAUCUCAUUGUGCGAUUGGAUAUGGAACUUGUGAUCUAGGAUGGUGUUGGUGCCUUCCACCACCUUCUGCCGAUAGUACUCCUACUAUAAUAACUGCAAAUUGAGAAUUAGAAAAUUGAAUGUUGUGAUGAAUUCUUAUCUAAAUAAAAAUUAUUAUAUGUAAAAUAAAUAUCAGUAAGAUAUGAAAAAAAUAUAUUUUAUAAUAAA
Molecule: long non-coding RNA, 374 nt
Organism: Vicia villosa (hairy vetch)
Lineage: Eukaryota; Viridiplantae; Streptophyta; Magnoliopsida; Fabales; Fabaceae
Exons: 2
Source: RefSeq, a predicted model, not a curated record